GAUGAACGCUGGCGGCGUGCCUAAUACAUGCAAGUCGAGCGAACAGACGAGGAGCUUGCUCCUCUGACGUUAGCGGCGGACGGGUGAGUAACACGUGGAUAACCUACCUAUAAGACUGGGAUAACUUCGGGAAACCGGAGCUAAUACCGGAUAAUAUAUUGAACCGCAUGGUUCAAUAGUGAAAGACGGUUUUGCUGUCACUUAUAGAUGGAUCCGCGCCGCAUUAGCUAGUUGGUAAGGUAACGGCUUACCAAGGCAACGAUGCGUAGCCGACCUGAGAGGGUGAUAGGCGACACGGGAACUGAGACACGGUCAAGACUCCUAAGGGAGGCAGCAGUAGGGAAUCUGCCGCAAUGGGCGAAAGCCUGACGGAGCAACGCCGCGUGAGUGAUGAAGGUCUUCGGAUCGUAAAACUCUGUUAUUAGGGAAGAACAAAUGUGUAAGUAACUAUGCACGUCUUGACGGUACCUAAUAAGAAAGCCACGGCUAACUACGUG
RNAcentral lists this ribosomal RNA (497 nucleotides) under uncultured bacterium. RNAcentral's name for it is "partial 16S ribosomal RNA". It matches the Rfam family "Bacterial small subunit ribosomal RNA", at positions 28 to 507 of the family's 1533-position model. The record is from RNAcentral.